Molecule: ribosomal RNA, 380 nt
Filed under: Ischnura fluviatilis
Lineage: Eukaryota; Metazoa; Arthropoda; Insecta; Odonata; Coenagrionidae
Description: partial large subunit ribosomal RNA
Rfam family: Archaeal large subunit ribosomal RNA (bases 1-184)
Source: RNAcentral
GUCCUAUUGUAUUAUUUAAUAGGUCUGGCCUGCCCAGUGAUAAUUUUAACGGCCGCGGUAUAUUGACCGUGCAAAGGUAGCAUAAUCAUUAGUCUUUUAAUAGGAGGCUGGAAUGAAAGGUUUAACGAGAAAUUAACUGUCUCAAUUGCAAUCUUGAAUUUAUCUUUUGAGUCAAAAGACUUAAAUAUAAUUGGUGGACGAGAAGACCCUAUAGAGCUUUACAAUUAUUUUUUUUAUAUUUAUUCAGAGAUAUUAUUUAUUUGUAUUAAAAAAAUUGUUUUGUUGGGGAGACAAUAAAUAUAUAUUUAACUUUUAUCAUAAUAUUAACAUUAAUUUAUGAUUUUUGGAUCCAAAAAUUUUGAUCAUUAGACUAAGUUACC